GAUGAACGCUGGCGGCGUGCCUAAUACAUGCCAGUCGAGCGAACAGACGAGGAGCUUGCUCCUCUGACGUUAGCGGCGGACGGGUGAGUAACACGUGGAUAACCUACCUAUAAGACUGGGAUAACUUCGGGAAACCGGAGCUAAUACCGGAUAAUAUAUUGAACCGCAUGGUUCAAUAGUGAAAGACGGUUUUGCUGUCACUUAUAGAUGGAUCCGCGCCGCAUUAGCUAGUUGGUAAGGUAACGGCUUACCAAGGCAACGAUGCGUAGCCGACCUGAGAGGGUGAUCGGCCACACUGGAACUGAGACACGGUCCAGACUCCUACGGGAGGCAGCAGUAGGGAAUCUUCCGCAAUGGGCGAAAGCCUGACGGAGCAACGCCGCGUGAGUGAUGAAGGUCUUCGGAUCGUAAAACUCUGUUAUUAGGGAAGAACAAAUGUGUAAGUAACUAUGCACGUCUUGAAGGUACCUAAUCAGAAAGCCACGGCCAACUACGUG
RNAcentral lists this ribosomal RNA (497 nucleotides) under uncultured bacterium. Its description in RNAcentral is "partial 16S ribosomal RNA". It matches the Rfam family "Bacterial small subunit ribosomal RNA", at positions 28 to 507 of the family's 1533-position model. The record is from RNAcentral.